This 479-nucleotide ribosomal RNA is filed under the name uncultured bacterium. RNAcentral's name for it is "partial 16S ribosomal RNA". It matches the Rfam family "Bacterial small subunit ribosomal RNA", at positions 28 to 507 of the family's 1533-position model. The record is from RNAcentral.
GAUGAACGCUAGCGGGAGGCCUAACACAUGCAAGCCGAGCGGUAGAGGUUCUUUGGAAACUUGAUAGCGGCGCACGGGUGCGUAACACGUGUGCAACCUACCUUUAUCUGGGGGAUAGCCGUUCGAAAGGAAGAGUAAUACCCCAUAAUAUAAUGAUUGGCAUCAAUUAUUAUUUAAAACUCCGGUGGAUAGAGAUGAGCACGCGCAAGAUUAGCUAGUUGGUGAGGUAACGGCUCACCAAGGCAAUGAUCUUUAGGGGUCCUGAGAGGGAGAUCCCCCAGACUGGUAAUGAGGCCCGGACCAGACUCGUACGCGAGGCAGCAGAGAGGAAUAUUGGACGCUGGGUGAGAGUCUGAUCCAGCCAUCCCGCGUGAAGGAUGACGGUGCUAUGGAUUGUCAACUUCUUUUGUGCAAGGAUAGAAAUACCCUCGUGAGGGUAGCUGAAGGUACUGUACGAAUAAGCACCGGCUAACUCCGUG